UACGUAGGUGGCGAGCGUUGUCCGGAUUUACUGGGCGUAAAGCGCGCGCAGGCGGUUCUGUAAGUCCUGGGGGAAAUCGCCCGGCUCAACUGGGCGGGGGCCUGGGGGACUGCGGGACUGGAGGGGCCUAGAGGCCGGUGGAACUCCCGGUGUAGUGGUGAAAUGCGUAGAGAUCGGGAAGAACACCAGUGGCGAAGGCGGCCGGCUGGGGGAGCCCUGACGCUGAGGCGCGAGAGCGUGGGGAGCGAACCGG
Molecule: ribosomal RNA, 253 nt
Filed under: uncultured bacterium
Lineage: Bacteria
Description: partial 16S ribosomal RNA
Rfam family: Bacterial small subunit ribosomal RNA
Source: RNAcentral